AUUGAACGCUGGCGGCAUGCUUUACACAUGCAAGUCGAACGGUAACAGGCCGCAAGGUGCUGACGAGUGGCGAACGGGUGAGUAAUGCAUCGGAACGUUCCCAGUCGUGGGGGAUAACUACUCGAAAGAGUAGCUAAUACCGCAUACGAUCUAUGGAUGACAGCGGGGGACCGUAAGGCCUCGCGCGAUUGGAGCGGCCGAUGUCAGAUUAGGUAGUUGGUGGGGUAAAGGCUCACCAAGCCAACGAUCUGUAGCUGGUCUGAGAGGACGACCAGCCACACUGGGACUGAGACACGGCCCAGACUCCUACGGGAGGCAGCAGUGGGGAAUGUUGGACAAUGGGCGCAAGCCUGAUCCAGCAAUGCCGCGUGCAGGAAGAAGGCCUUCGGGUUGUAAACUGCUUUUGUACGGAACGAAACGGCUCUGGUUAAUACCCGGGGCUAAUGACGGUACCGGAAGAAUAAGCACCGGCUAACUACGUG
RNAcentral lists this ribosomal RNA (482 nucleotides) under uncultured bacterium. RNAcentral's name for it is "partial 16S ribosomal RNA". It matches the Rfam family "Bacterial small subunit ribosomal RNA", at positions 30 to 507 of the family's 1533-position model. The record is from RNAcentral.